CACCUAACAACAUCUCCAUAAUCAUCACAAACCAAGGGAUAUAAUCAUCAUAAAUCAAACUAGACAUUCUUUUAUGCUCUCGUUUUUCUCAUAACAACAAAGUCGACUAUCCAUGAAUUUUUCAAUUAUCACUCGACUUUCUCAAUCAACCUUUUUUUUUUCAUUUUUCUUUUUCUUUUUCUCUUUUUUUUUUCUUUUUUCUAGAGCUUAUAAGAAUGACUAGAAUCAUGUUUCACCCUUAUUUCAAUCAACCCACAGUCAAUAUCACACGAUGAUCCCCAUAUACUCCAUCACCCCCUAUCAUCCGGUUAAUGAAUCAAAGCUUAAAAAGGCUCAAACACGGUUAACAAGGGAAUAAUGUUUUCAGGACAGUGUUUGGGAUAUAACGUGGCUUACGAAAAAUGGCCUAAGAUCAUUUCAAACUCUUG
RNAcentral lists this long non-coding RNA (428 nucleotides) under Salvia miltiorrhiza (redroot sage). RNAcentral's name for it is "long non-coding RNA (SMIL_LNC003957)". Lineage: Eukaryota; Viridiplantae; Streptophyta; Magnoliopsida; Lamiales; Lamiaceae. The record is from RNAcentral.